This 386-nucleotide ribosomal RNA is filed under the name uncultured bacterium. Its description in RNAcentral is "bacterial SSU rRNA". It matches the Rfam family "Bacterial small subunit ribosomal RNA", at positions 30 to 420 of the family's 1533-position model. The record is from RNAcentral.
AUUGAACGCUGGCGGCAUGCUUUACACAUGCAAGUCGAACGGUAGACCCUUUCGGGGGUUGAGAGUGGCGAACGGGUGAGUAAUGCAUCGGAACAUACCCAGUCGUGGGGGAUAACGUAGCGAAAGUUACGCUAAUACCGCAUACGUCCUGAGGGAGAAAGCGGGGGAUCUUCGGACCUCGCGCGAUUGGAGUGGCCGAUGUCAGAUUAGCUAGUUGGUGGGGUAAAGGCCUACCAAGGCGACGAUCUGUAGCGGGUCUGAGAGGAUGAUCCGCCACACUGGGACUGAGACACGGCCCAGACUCCUACGGGAGGCAGCAGUGGGGAAUUUUGGACAAUGGGCGCAAGCCUGAUCCAGCCAUGCCGCGUGCGGGAAGAAGGCCUCGG